Grammomys surdaster is the source of this 413-nucleotide long non-coding RNA. RefSeq lists it as uncharacterized. The transcript has 2 exons. NCBI's taxonomy places the organism in Eukaryota, Metazoa, Chordata, Mammalia, Rodentia, Muridae. The record is from RefSeq and is a predicted model, not a curated record.
AGUAAACACACGGUCUAGUGUCAGACUUUUGCCUGAGGUCCCAGAAAGGUCAGAGGGAAAGGAUCCCAGCCCACAGGAUAGUGUCACCUACAUCCUGCCUUGGUCUUCCUCUUUAAUCUUUCUGGAAAUACCCUCAUAGUAUCACCCAAAGGAGUGUUUCCAUGGAGCUUCUAAUCCCAUCUAAUUGAGGAUCAAAGGAUCAGUGAGAUGGCUCAGUGAACUCACCUACUGCCAAGCCUGAUGACCUGGGGUUCAAUCCCUGGGACCCAGUGACGGAAAGAACCAACUCCAGAAGUUGUCCUGUGAUGUCUCCACUCCCCGCAAAAAAAACUUAAUAUAAUUGUAUUUAUGUAGUAUUUAUUUAUGAAUUAAUUAAUUUUAUUUGUUUUAUAAAUAAAAAUAUUUAUAAACUA